Molecule: ribosomal RNA, 550 nt
Filed under: uncultured Acaulospora
Lineage: Eukaryota; Fungi; Glomeromycota; Glomeromycetes; Diversisporales; Acaulosporaceae
Description: SSU rRNA
Rfam family: Eukaryotic small subunit ribosomal RNA
Source: RNAcentral
GGAGGGCAAGUCUGGUGCCAGCAGCCGCGGUAAUUCCAGCUCCAAUAGCGUAUAUUAAAGUUGUUGCAGUUAAAAAGCUCGUAGUUGAAUUUCGGGGUCUGUCCAUUGGUCGGGCUUCACGGUCCGUACUGGUGUGAUGGGUUCCUACCUUCUGAAUAACCAGCAUGCCAUUCAGUUGGUGCGUUGGGGAAGCAGAGCUAUUACCUUGAAAAAAUUAGAGUGCUUAAAGCAGGCUAGUGCUUGAAUAGAUUAGCAUGGAAUAAUAAAACAGGACGGCAUGGUUCUAUUUUGUUGGUUUCUAGGAUCACCGUAAUGAUUAAUAGGGAUAGUUGGGGGCAUUAGUAUUCAAUUGUCAGAGGUGAAAUUCUUGGAUUUAUUGAAGACUAACUUCUGCGAAAGCAUUUGCCAAGGAUGUUUUCAUUAAUCAAGAACGAGAGUUAGGGGAUCGAAGACGAUCAGAUACCGUCGUAGUCUUAACCAUAAACUAUGCCGACUAGGGAUCGGACGAUGUUAAUUUUUUAAUGACUCGUUCGGCGCCUUACGGGAAACA